UACGUAGGGGGCAAGCGUUGUCCGGAUUUAUUGGGCGUAAAGAGCGUGUAGGCGGCCAUGUAGGUCCGUUGUGAAAACUCGAGGCUCAACCUCGAGACGCCGAUGGAAACCAUGUGGCUAGAGUCCGGAAGAGGAGUGUGGAAUUCCUGGUGUAGCGGUGAAAUGCGCAGAUAUCAGGAAGAACACCUAUGGCGAAGGCAGCACUCUGGGACGGUACUGACGCUGAGACGCGAAAGCGUGGGGAGCGAACAGG
This 253-nucleotide ribosomal RNA is filed under the name uncultured bacterium. RNAcentral's name for it is "partial 16S ribosomal RNA". It matches the Rfam family "Bacterial small subunit ribosomal RNA", at positions 524 to 776 of the family's 1533-position model. The record is from RNAcentral.